RNAcentral lists this long non-coding RNA (624 nucleotides) under Homo sapiens (human). Its description in RNAcentral is "non-protein coding lnc-CD46-7:1". The record is from RNAcentral. Lineage: Eukaryota; Metazoa; Chordata; Mammalia; Primates; Hominidae.
AGAGACAGAGCCAAGUGAUCUCCCGCAGCACCUGCCCUCUCCUGAGCUAUGCCUCUGGCCUUCCCGCCUCCUCCUCCACACGGACCUCCGCGCCCCCUGAAGAAGGGGGGAAAAAGAAAUACGCAUUAAUACCUCGAGCCUUGGCGCACCAGCCCUCGCCCCCUCAACCACCUGUCUCUGCGUUCUCCCCCGCAGCCUUCCUCAACUCUGGGCGCCCCCUCUGCAGCAAAGGGGCACCACGCCCACUGCGGAGAGGAGAAAUGCAAGGGAUAUCUCCACUGGACGCCCAACCUCACAUUUCCGCCUGUAGAAAUUCCACCUGUCCUUUAAGGCCAACUCGAAAACCUCUUCCUCUCUGAUUUUCCCAAUCAGCAAUGUCAUUUAUGACCUCAGUUUUCUGAGAGUAUGUCUUUUAUGGCUGUUAACAUGUUAUAAACACACCUGUAUUUAUUUCUGUGGUUGGUUUUCUUAUCUCCUUCUAGAUAGCAAAACUGUUUUAAGAUCAGUUUCUCCCUCUGCAACUACUAAGGGCCUUACAUGGUAUGCCUUCGACAAACAGUUCUUAAGUAAUCAGAGAGAUUGGAUUGAGAGAAUAGGAGGCCCAGCAAAUGCCUUUGCUCUACC